UUACUUUAAUACUCUGCGAUUUAAAGUAUAUCAAUUUAGUACUAUAUGGUUUUAUUUUAUUUUUUCAUCAACUUUUCUGUUAACUUUUUGUUAAAUCAUAUAUAAAAAAAGUCAGAUACUCUAUCUGUAGUUUAUAGAAUAUUUAUUUUAGUACUUUUUAGUUUUAAUUUUAUCACUGAUUUAAUGAAAAAAAAAUAUUAGAGAGGAUAACAAAAAAAAAUUAAAAUUACAUAAUAGGAAAGU
Molecule: long non-coding RNA, 243 nt
Filed under: Ananas comosus (pineapple)
Lineage: Eukaryota; Viridiplantae; Streptophyta; Magnoliopsida; Poales; Bromeliaceae
Description: long non-coding RNA (ACOM_LNC044034)
Source: RNAcentral